AAUAAAUAAAUAAAGAGUUUGGGUCAUUCAGGGUACAUCUGUGCGUGUGCCCCUGCUGCCAUCUACUGGACAUCCUUUAUUAAACAUAAAGAAGAAGUAGAGGAAACUUACUGAUAAGACCUCACCAAUGAAUAGCCACAAAAUGGUUUUAUGACCUUAUUUGGUAACAUUCCAAGGCGGUGAGCUCAUUAUUAGGAGCCUUUUAUAAUCUUGUGUAUUUCCGGUUUUGGGCAGAGACUCCGGUGCUUUUUGACGGUGUUCUCUCCAAUUCUGCAGAAUUGUAAAAAUAAAACUUCUUUCGCAGAGCACUCUUUGUCUCUUGUUUGGUUGUUGGGGCGUAAGGGAAUUUACCCCCCCCCCUUAAAGCCGGUUAACAAUUUGGCACCCCAGAUGGGACUUUAAAUUGCCCUUUUGAGCCGGGCUGUGUUAGUCCCGUUGGGCUCGAGGUGGACAGGCGAGUGGCUUGCGAAAUCGGAGGGCCCCCGUUAUUUUUUUUUAACGGCCGCUUUCUCAGUUGCUGCCUGAUGCCUCGUUCCCAAGAACCCAUUUUGAGGCGCUCCGCGAAAGAAGAGGCAGGUCGACCUCGCGGGACAUCAGAUCUAUCGGAUCCAGGAAAUACAGCAUCAGACUUUGCCGAAGCAGCAGUGCAUCCCUUUCUCCCCAACCCCCAGGACAGUAGGUGUAUGUAAAAAGUGGAACACUAGUCCUCUGGAGGCCAAGUGGGACGGACCAUAUCUAGUCUUGCUGACAACUGAGACUGCAGUCCAAACGAAGGAGGCUGGUUGGACACACCAUACGCGAGUAAAGAAAGCUGCGGUUCCGAACAGCGAGCAGGAGAAGGAAGAAUGGGUUUGCCAAACACCCGACCCGCAGGAGCCCCUAAAAUAAAACUAUGGCGAAAGGGAGGCGGAAGUGGGUUGGGGGUAGACCAAUGGUGUUAAUAUUAAUUCUGUUCAUAAGCUGUUGGGACAUGGCUGUGGGACCAGGAACCGAAGGGAACUCAUGGGUAAGAAACGCACACCACAUGUUUAAGGCGACACUGGUAUAUGAGUCCCCUAUCUCGAUCAGAUUCAUGAGUGUGAUAUCAGGACUUAUUAAUGACACUACACUGAUCGUGGCCUCUUUACAAAGUAUUAGUGCCUCAGGGCAGACAGAGAUUUUGUUCAUAGCGUUCCUACAAACCUGAAUAAGGAAAAAAAAUCAGGUGGUUUUAAAAUAUAUUAGAAAGACAAAGGGCUUGUGUUUCUGUUAUACUUAUAAGGACAAUUGGGUAAAGGGUUUUAAUGAAUCAAAUGAGAGCUUUCAGAAAAUAGGAAACUCUUCACAAUGUGAGGGAGACUUUUGUUUGUCAAAUAAGGACCAAGAAUUGUUUGGGGAAAACGAGAAUAACAUGAUUGGAGAGCUGAAAAAUGUCACAAAGGAUGAGAAAACUCUGGCAGAUAUCGAUUCAGAUUUUCCACUACUACAGACCAAUCACACUGGAUGAAGUAUUUGUGGAUACAUGAUGCUUAAAGACCCUAGUUUAUGUUCUUUUCUUUAUGGGAUGGCCCACCAACUAUCACCCAGGCUGCAAGAGAGGAGCAUGUGUAGAUAUUGGAUCUUUCCCUGGUGCAAGUUAUUGGAACACGAAAGACCCAGACACAAGAGGGAUACAAAAACAAUGAGGGAUGGGGUGAGCGGACCUUUGGGCUCAUCCUGUCAGGAUGAAGUGAUAAUUGAUAAACUGACUUGCAGACUAGAGAAAAGUGUAAAUGCUACCACACAGAUAGUACGAGAGUUACAAGAAGAAAUUGGGAGUUUGCACCAGGUACAGAUGCAACAUCACUUGACAAUUAGCUCUUAGAUUAUCUCCUAGUCAAAGAAGGGGGAGUCUGCAAAAUAGUUAGAUCCGGAUGCAUAGUAGCUUAGCGUGAAAUGAACAAGUCCAUUGGACAUCACUUAGGCCAGGGGAACUGAAGGAGGCAAUAUAAAAGAGUUAUACGGGUAGUUGUUUGUUGCUGUAUACAAUGUAUUCCUGCAGUUUUAAAAGAAAUGGUCAGAAAACAAAGAGAGAGAGAAUCUCUUUUGCCAUUACGUGUGAAUCAAGAUGAAGAAAUGAUAACUGUCAUUUACAAUCCUACUGGCAAAACUUGUUCAAGUAUUUUCGGGGGGAAUUGAUAUAGAAAAGAUAUUCAUAUUGAAUACGUUUUGCUUAUACUGUAUAUUGAGUUCUGCGUUUCAGCAGUCUUGGCAUAACACAUUAGGCUAUGCCUGUGUUUCUUUCUGCCUUUGCUAUGUAACCUCUAAGGAAUUUCUGGUAUGAGAUGGUACCAGGCACCAAAGAUAAGGGAUAGCUGGCUUGCCUUGCAAAGGUAGAG
Long non-coding RNA from Pogona vitticeps (central bearded dragon), 2357 nucleotides. RefSeq lists it as uncharacterized. Lineage: Eukaryota; Metazoa; Chordata; Lepidosauria; Squamata; Agamidae. The record is from RefSeq and is a predicted model, not a curated record.